This 631-nucleotide ribosomal RNA is filed under the name Klebsiella pneumoniae. RNAcentral's name for it is "bacterial SSU rRNA". It matches the Rfam family "Bacterial small subunit ribosomal RNA", at positions 1 to 619 of the family's 1533-position model. The record is from RNAcentral. Lineage: Bacteria; Pseudomonadati; Pseudomonadota; Gammaproteobacteria; Enterobacterales; Enterobacteriaceae.
ACUUAAAUUGAAGAGUUUGAUCAUGGCUCAGAUUGAACGCUGGCGGCAGGCCUAACACAUGCAAGUCGAGCGGUAGCACAGAGAGCUUGCUCUCGGGUGACGAGCGGCGGACGGGUGAGUAAUGUCUGGGAAACUGCCUGAUGGAGGGGGAUAACUACUGGAAACGGUAGCUAAUACCGCAUAAUGUCGCAAGACCAAAGUGGGGGACCUUCGGGCCUCAUGCCAUCAGAUGUGCCCAGAUGGGAUUAGCUUGUAGGUGGGGUAACGGCUCACCUAGGCGACGAUCCCUAGCUGGUCUGAGAGGAUGACCAGCCACACUGGAACUGAGACACGGUCCAGACUCCUACGGGAGGCAGCAGUGGGGAAUAUUGCACAAUGGGCGCAAGCCUGAUGCAGCCAUGCCGCGUGUGUGAAGAAGGCCUUCGGGUUGUAAAGCACUUUCAGCGGGGAGGAAGGCGGUGAGGUUAAUAACCUCAUCGAUUGACGUUACCCGCAGAAGAAGCACCGGCUAACUCCGUGCCAGCAGCCGCGGUAAUACGGAGGGUGCAAGCGUUAAUCGGAAUUACUGGGCGUAAAGCGCACGCAGGCGGUCUGUCAAGUCGGAUGUGAAAUCCCCGGGCUCAACCUGGGA